GGGGAUGUAGCUCAGUGGUAGAGCGCAUGCUUUGCAUGUAUGAGGCCCUGGGUUCAUUCCCCAAUAUCUCCA
This 72-nucleotide transfer RNA is filed under the name Chrysemys picta bellii (western painted turtle). Its description in RNAcentral is "tRNA-Ala (TGC) (tRNA-Ala-TGC-7-1)". It matches the Rfam family "tRNA". Rfam says of the family: Transfer RNA (tRNA) molecules are approximately 80 nucleotides in length. Their secondary structure includes four short double-helical elements and three loops (D, anti-codon, and T loops). Lineage: Eukaryota; Metazoa; Chordata; Testudines; Emydidae. The record is from Rfam by way of RNAcentral. RNAcentral also lists the same sequence under 1 other name.